This 70-nucleotide transfer RNA is filed under the name Talpa martinorum. RNAcentral describes it as "tRNA-Gly". The record is from RNAcentral. Lineage: Eukaryota; Metazoa; Chordata; Mammalia; Eulipotyphla; Talpidae.
AUUCUUUUAGUAUCAAUCAGUACGGUUGACUUCCAAUCAACUAGUCUCGGCAUCAACCCGAGGAAGAAUA